Scatophagus argus is the source of this 1652-nucleotide long non-coding RNA. RefSeq lists it as uncharacterized. NCBI's taxonomy places the organism in Eukaryota, Metazoa, Chordata, Actinopteri, Scatophagidae. The record is from RefSeq and is a predicted model, not a curated record. The transcript is spliced from 3 exons.
ACCCAGAUUUUAGUUUUAAUUAAGCUUUUUAGUAGUCAUUAGUUAAUCUUUUGUGUUUAGUAAAAAGUGGGUCUCAUUACAAAAUACAAUUCGUUGAUUGCAAUUAUUUAAGUGAAAUGUUUAAUCCAACGAUCAUGUUUAGUAAACAUUACACGCUAUGUUAUGUUUAUGCGAGGGGAGGAGUUUAUUCGAAAUUUGAACAUCGCUGUUAGUGUCAACCGUCCUGUGGCUGCUGCGCGCUGAAACCAACUGAGACAGAGGAUUUUUCUGGAACGGAGGGCUUUUGGAGUGCGACUUCAUACCAAGUGACAGACUAAUGAGCCAGCUGACAUCUGCACACUGGUGCUCAGAGGACUUCCUCUUCUGCUUGGUGACAAGCCUACAGACGUCUACAAAACAUGCAUUGGUGAUGAUGGUGACUCGCUCCACCAAGUUGACAUUGGGAUCCUCAUUGUUGAACACGAAGGUACCGAGCUGUCGCCUCCCCUCAAUUACAGUCCAUCAUCCUUUAAGAUUGUCAUUGAGGGAGAACCUGUCGUGGACAGUCUUCAGGACUUGCCAAAGGCUGUGUGCAUCCUGUUUGGACUGAUGUACGCAUUACACCUUAACUAUCCCAAGUCCAUGAAAAACACCUUCCACUUCAUCCAGCAGGUGCUCCUGAUGUUGGGCCAUACUGACCUGAAACCUAGAUUACAUUACAUUACAAACCAGCUGACAAUUUAAAGGAAAAAUAUAUACAGGGCCAUAUCAGAAAGCCUCAAGUUGUACCUGUUUGGUCUCCCUGUAUUGAGGUGCAAAUAUUUGUUCUGACCACUAUUUUGUUAAAAACAAUAAUGAAUGCAAUGCUUUUACUGCUCUUUAUUCUGCAUUCUAUUAGAUCUGAUGCAGACAUAUCUCCAGCUGAUGAUUGUUUAUAUUAUUCUUUCAUGUUUAAUCAUUUGUAUUCUGAUAUUCUAUGAAAGACCAGAGAAAUUCUUCUGUUUUCAUAUAAACAGUUUGUUUGAAAUAAUACAAAAAAGCAUCAAGAAAUGAUGUUCCCAGUAUUGUAUUGAAGAACUUACCUGUCUUGACCAUUAAACCAACAACCUGGCCUCAACCUUUAAACUUUACUAAGACAGGAAAAAAAAGUUUUGAUUUUUGUUUGUCCACUGUAAACUUGUGCCACUGUAUUCACUGUUCCUUUGAGUCCAGACAGUUAAACCGUUUUAAUGCCUCUUUUUAACCUGUUUUUACAAAUGUGACAAGUUAAUGUUGCAGCCAAUUAUUUAGAAAAUAAAACAUGUUGAAUCCAAUGAAUUGAUGUUCUGGAUUAUUAUUUCUUUCUUAUUUUAUUGUAUAAAAUACAAUAAUAAAAAACUACUAAAAAUUACUUUAAAAAUCAUUUUAAGUAAUGAGAAAUAAUACAUAUUAGGUUUUUUGAUAUAUAUAUAUAUAUGUAUGUUGAAUUUAAAAUAGUAAUUUUUUACAGACUCGAAAAAGAAACAAAUUAGUCAUGUGAGCUAAGUAUUUUUAGUAAAGACUAUUGCAUUUAAUUAAUGUGUUGCGUUAAUACAACUUAAAAUCCCUAGUUUAACCACUGUGUAAAAACUUAAACCAUUUAAGGCAAUCGGUUUCCACGCGUUGUUCUAGUAAAGUCAACUAAUUUGGGUUAA